Molecule: unclassified non-coding RNA, 336 nt
Filed under: soil metagenome
Description: partial contains 5.8S ribosomal RNA, internal transcribed spacer 2, and large subunit ribosomal RNA
Rfam family: 5.8S ribosomal RNA (bases 1-120)
Source: RNAcentral
GAUGAAGAACGUAGCGAAAUGCGAUAAGUAAUGUGAAUUGCAGAAUUCAGUGAAUCAUCGAAUGUUUGAACGCACAUUGCGCCCGCCAGUAUUCUGGCGGGCAUGCCUGUUCGAGCGUCAUUUCAACCAUCAAGCCCCAGGCUUGUGUUGGGGACCUGCGGCUGCCGCAGGCCCUGAAAACCAGUGGCGGGCUCGCUGUCACACCGGGCGUAGUAGAUUUUAUCUCGCUCAGGGCGUGCUGCGGGUUCCGGCCGUUAAAAAGCCUUUUUUACCCAAGGUUGACCUCGGAUCAGGUAGGAAGACCCGCUGAACUUAAGCAUAUCAAUAAGCGGAGGA